AAACUUAGCUUUUUGCUUGUCCUCAGGCAAAAUAAAACUAGAAAACAAAAAAUAAAAAACUAACAAACUAGAAACUUAACUAAAACUAAUUGACAAAAAAUUUCACCUUCAAAGUUGCAAUCCAUAAAACACGUUAAAAAUUAGAACAUCGUUUCAAAAGUUCCAACCAAUCCCACCACAGAGUCUAAGCCAUUUAGAAUCAAUUAGAAAAGAAUUCACAAACUUCCUUUGGUGUAAAGUGAACCAACAUAGUUUAGGAGACUCGACUAAAACCCUUAUCUCUCGUCCUUCUUUAUUUCACACGUACUAACUUUAAAUAUAGCUAUUUUUAUUUUUCUUUUUCUUUUCGAUUUUUCUCUUCUUCUUUUUAUUUUUUUUUAUAGAUAUAUAUAUAUAUAUAUAUUUUCAGUAACAGCAGUGGUCGUGCAAUGUCGGUUCCCUUAAGUUUUCUAUCCAACCCAUGUAAUGAGCUUUAGGUCAAUGACUCCCAAACCAUAAAGGCUUUAGGGCACUAGGUGUAGAAUACCCCUAAGGACUUACUAGCUGGAGCUGAAAAGGCUACGAAACCAAUUAACCACCCUGCCCCAUGCCAAAACUCUACCGUUUGACUGAAGAAUCACUGCUGAUUAGGCAAGAUUGGCCUAGUUACUAAGCAAAGCCUCGAGUGGAACAAUUAUUAAUUUAUAACACUUACUAACUCUAUUUUAUAUAGAACAAAAAUUAAAAUACACUUAGACAGAAAUUAAGUGUUUCAAUCUCACUCCCCACAAACCAUGUUAGUGUGAUGUGCAAAUUUCAAAGUACAAUUCAUGAAUUAGUGUCUAAGCAACGACAAAUAGAAAAGACUCUAUUAUGAGAUUAAUCUUCCUCAUGUCCAUUUGUUCUAACUUCUAAAAUAUUCUAUGAAUAUUAACUUAGAAAGAAUAAAAAUUUUAACUUGACACAAAAAUUAAAAUCCUAAAAUUUUACAUUCCCACCUCCAAACUUAUUUCACACUUUGUCCUCAAGGUGUGGAAAAGAAAAUAAAAUAAAAAAGACAACAAAUUAAAUAAAAUUAAAUUAAAGACAAAAACGAAACCUGAACUGAACAUAACAAAUAAAUAAAAGAAAAACAAAAGAAAAACCAAAGAAAGGUAACAAAAUAAAUAAAUAAUUAAAGAAAGGAAAACAUGCACCUGGUGUGAAUCACGACGUGAAAGGAUCCAAGGUCUUCAAGAGUCACUCAUUAGGCCAUGGAAAACCAAGGAAAAACAUGAAUAAUGGCCUACGGAAAUAGAGACAAAGCAACCCAUUUUGCUGCUCACACACACGACACGCGGAAACACCAGAAACCCUAGCUGUAUUUGACCAAGCUUCUGCAUCCAUUCUCCUUGAGCCCAGAGCCAACGGCUCCCUGUCCCUCCAAUUUCAAAUUGUCCUUUCAUCUUUAGAUACAGAACGCACGCGAUUUAGACACGUGGCAUGCAUCUGUGCAAUGGACUCCGUAGGAUUCCUCUAACACAUGCAUCUCAUCCGCCCAUUUUCAUUUCAGAGUAUUUUGUUAGCAACCGGAGGCCUCUGUCCAUAUCAGAAAUAGCUCUCCCAUUUUUCUCACCCCUCUUUCUAUCUAGAAAAUCAGAAACGGCUCUCACUUCACCAGCACAUGCACACCAACGCCCAUUAUUGCAAACCUUCCAUCUCACAGCAGCUGCUUCAUCCUCUCUAUGCGCUGCAUACGUUUGCAACCCAUAACCCAGCAACAAACAAACCUCCGCGAGUACCCAGCUGUGGUGGAGUGAACUGACAAGCUAAGAUGCUUAAGCCAAAAUCCUCCUCAAUUUGUGCUAUUGUCGUUUCAUCUUUAUGUAUUUGAGUGAAAUGUGACAAGAUCUAACAAACACAUGCAUGUGUUUUUAUCCGUAUGAGGUCCCCUAAACUUGCAAAUCUAAGCCUAUAACUCCACCCUGCAUGCGUAUAAUCUAUGCGUCUCGUUUGUGUGCAAAGGUUCUCGAGCUGGAAGCUGAACAACAGCAAAGACAAGGAAAACAUUGAAGACAUCGCGGAUCCGAGUCAUGCAGAGGAAUGACCCCAGAUUGGCAAAGACACAUUUGGCUGACCAAACUAUCGGCCUACAAAGAAGAAUGGCCGCGUAGCAGGAUAGAGAGUUAUAACAUCCCAUCCCUUCUUGUGUAUUACAGAUGGGGUUGAUGUUGAUGUAGAUCUACUACUGGAUGCAUGAUUCCGUCUAAAAUAAUAUCUCUGUGCAUUAAUUCUUGUUUUUCUUGUUUGCUGGCUGCAUAAAAAUCAAGUGUUGAAAUCAGAGAUAGAAUGUUGAAGAUACUAUCGGUAAACUAAAAUAAAACAAGUAAAAGCAAAUUUUUUUUUA
This is a long non-coding RNA of Pyrus x bretschneideri (Chinese white pear), 2365 nucleotides long. RefSeq lists it as uncharacterized. Lineage: Eukaryota; Viridiplantae; Streptophyta; Magnoliopsida; Rosales; Rosaceae. The record is from RefSeq and is a predicted model, not a curated record. The transcript is spliced from 2 exons.